CCACUCAUUUAAAGAGUGCGUAAUAGCUCACUGGUCGAGUGAUCCUGCGCCGAAAAUUUCCGGGGCUAAAACGUACUACCGAAGCUACGGCAUCAUUUAUGAUGGGUAGGAGAGCUUUCUAUAUGGAUUGAAGCAUUACCGUAAGGAGAUGUGGACUGUAUAGAAGUGAGAAUGUUGGCAUGAGUAGCGAGAUGUGGGUGAGAAUCCCACAGGCCGUAAACCCAAGGUUUCCAGGGGAAGGUUCGUCCGCCCUGGGUUAGUCAGGACCUAAGCCGAGGCCGAAAGGCGUAGGUGAUGGACAACAGGUUGAUAUUCCUGUACCACCAAUAACCGUUUGAGAAAUGGGAUGACACAGUAGGAUAAGCUAACCGCACUGUUGGUUAUGUGCGGGCAAGUAUUGAGGCAGUUCAGGUAGGCAAAUCCGCCUGAAUAAUGCUGGRGUACGAUGCGGAGCGAAAUUUAGUAGCGAAGUAGCUGAUUUCACACUGUCGAGAAAAGUCUCUAUCGAGGUUAAAGGUGCCUGUACCGCAAACCGACACAGGUGGGUGAGGAGAGUAUCCUAAGGCCAGCCAGAGAACUGUUGUUAAGGAACUCGGCAAAAUGACCCCGUAACUUAGGGAGAAGGGGUGCCAUGGAAACAUGGCCGCAGAGAAUAGGCCCAAGCGACUGUUUACCAAAAACAUAGGUUUCUGCUAAGUCGCAAGACGAUGUAUAGGAGCUGACGCCUGCCCGGUGCUGGAAGGUUAAGGGGAUCUGUUAGGGUAACCGAAGCAGUGAACUUAAGCCCCAGUAAACGGCGGCC
RNAcentral lists this ribosomal RNA (802 nucleotides) under Terrisporobacter glycolicus. RNAcentral describes it as "bacterial LSU rRNA". It matches the Rfam family "Bacterial large subunit ribosomal RNA", at positions 1117 to 1935 of the family's 2925-position model. The record is from RNAcentral. Lineage: Bacteria; Bacillati; Bacillota; Clostridia; Peptostreptococcales; Peptostreptococcaceae.